UCGAACGAGUUCUCGUUGAUGAUCGGUGCUUGCACCGAGAUUCAACAUGGAACGAGUGGCGGACGGGUGAGUAACACGUGGGUAACCUGCCCUUAAGUGGGGGAUAACAUUUGGAAACAGAUGCUAAUACCGCAUAGAUCCAAGAACCGCAUGGUUCUUGGCUGAAAGAUGGCGUAAGCUAUCGCUUUUGGAUGGACCCGCGGCGUAUUAGCUAGUUGGUGAGGUAAUGGCUCACCAAGGCGAUGAUACGUAGCCGAACUGAGAGGUUGAUCGGCCACAUUGGGACUGAGACACGGCCCAAACUCCUACGGGAGGCAGCAGUAGGGAAUCUUCCACAAUGGACGCAAGUCUGAUGGAGCAACGCCGCGUGAGUGAAGAAGGCUUUCGGGUCGUAAAACUCUGUUGUUGGAGAAGAAUGGUCGGCAGAGUAACUGUUGUCGGCGUGACGGUAUCCAACCAGAAAGCCACGGCUAACUACGUGCCAGCAGCCGCGGUAAUACGUAGGUGGCAAGCGUUAUCCGGAUUUAUUGGGCGUAAAGCGAGCGCAGGCGGUUUUUUAAGUCUGAUGUGAAAGCCCUCGGCUUAACCGAGGAAGCGCAUCGGAAACUGGGAAACUUGAGUGCAGAAGAGGACAGUGGAACUCCAUGUGUAGCGGUGAAAUGCGUAGAUAUAUGGAAGAACACCAGUGGCGAAGGCGGCUGUCUGGUCUGUAACUGACGCUGAGGCUCGAAAGCAUGGGUAGCGAACAGGAUUAGAUACCCUGGUAGUCCAUGCCGUAAACGAUGAAUGCUAGGUGUUGGAGGGUUUCCGCCCUUCAGUGCCGCAGCUAACG
RNAcentral lists this ribosomal RNA (832 nucleotides) under uncultured bacterium. Its description in RNAcentral is "bacterial SSU rRNA". It matches the Rfam family "Bacterial small subunit ribosomal RNA", at positions 62 to 857 of the family's 1533-position model. The record is from RNAcentral.